This 948-nucleotide ribosomal RNA is filed under the name Onuphis elegans. RNAcentral's name for it is "partial 16S ribosomal RNA". The stretch from base 429 to 948 matches the Rfam family "Eukaryotic large subunit ribosomal RNA", at positions 1890 to 2921 of the family's 3401-position model. Lineage: Eukaryota; Metazoa; Annelida; Polychaeta; Eunicida; Onuphidae. The record is from RNAcentral.
AUAAUAAUAAAUUUUAAACCCGAACUUAAGUGAGCUGAUAUUAAUAUUUGCUAAGAGCCCAUUUUUUAAUGUUUCAAUAUUAUAAAUAAAAUAAAUAUCAGAAGCUACAUACCUCCCGCACUUCAAUAUAGCUGGUUUCCAUCCCAUCCAGUCUAAGCUGUAAUAAUUGUAACCUAUUUCAUUUUCAUUAUACAAUUAAUUAACCUAAUUGAGGAUAAGCUCAAUUAUUCCCCUUAUUUUAUUUAAAUUAAAUACAAAAAGUAGGCUUAAAAUCAGCCCCCUAAAACUCGUCAUAGUAUACUUCUAAAUAUAAUAUUACAUAAAAUAAUUAAUAAUGGAUAAUAUUUAAAACCUCCAAAAUAUUUAACUAUGCAAAAAUCAGUAUUACAUUAAACAACCUUAUUAAUUCUAAUAAUUAACAAACAACCAUAUAUAAAAAAGGAACUCGGCAAAUCAAAGCUUCGUCUGUUUAACAAAAACAUAGCCUAUUGACAACCUUAUAAUAGGUAUAUAUCCUGCCCAGUGAAUUUUCAACGGCCGCGGUAUCCUGACCGUGCAAAGGUAGCAUAAUCAUUUGCCUCCUAAUUAGAGGCUAGUAUGAAUGGAAAAACGAAAGCCUAACUGUCUCCUUUAUAAUAAUAAAAAUUAACCUUCAGGUGAAGAGGCCUGAAUUUAUUUAAAAGACAAGAAGACCCUGUCGAGCUUAAUUCCAUAAAAUAAAAAUCUUAAUUUUAAAUCUUACAAGAAUUUUGUUGGGGCGACAAGGGAACAAAUAUAACUUCCCUAUAUAAUAAAGAUUAUUUAUCAACCCAUAGACCCAUUUCAUGAUCUUUAAUUCUAGCUACCGCAGGGAUAACAGUCUUAUUUCCCCCAAGAGCCCACAUCUACGGGGAAGUUUAGCACCUCGAUGUUGGCUUAGGAAUUCUAUUAAAUGUAGCCGUUUAAAUA